UCCCAUGGUUACCCAAGAGACAGAGGCAGCAGAGCGUCCUGCAGCACGGUAUUUGACAGAGAAAGAAGAAACUGAACAGGUCUUCCUGUUAAACUCAGGAAUGAAAGGUGCUGGCUGUGGCCCUGCUUUGGGGAGUUUGAAGACCAGAUUUUGGGGAUCCAAAUGGAGAAGGGACACAGAAAAAGCCUUGCAAAGGCAGCUGAACUGUGACCGACUUCCCAUUGCUGCCUGCCAACUGGUCACCUAUUAACUCAUUCCCUGGCAUUCCUCUGGGCAAACACCCAGUCAUCUGAAUGCUAUUUGCUGCCAGCGUGUUCCUAGGGCAGCAGCUUUGCAGCCCUGACAGACACCGUGGAUUUUUCCCUGCACGUAUCCGCAGGGAAUGUCUUGGCACAGCAGCAAGCAGUGUGCCAGCCCAGGCCUGGGGCAGCACUGGGGGAUGGCACUGGGACAGUGCCCACCCUGAAAGCAAGGCAAGCAGUAGCAUUUCAUCAGAGGAGAUUUGCAAAGAAAACAUUAUUUCCUCAAAUGUGUUCAUCAUUCAAAAUUAUUCAAGCAAAGGUUUCCAUCUCGCUGUGGCUAUUAUUCAUAAUAUGGGAAUCUGGA
This is a long non-coding RNA of Pezoporus flaviventris, 606 nucleotides long. RefSeq lists it as uncharacterized. Lineage: Eukaryota; Metazoa; Chordata; Aves; Psittaciformes; Psittacidae. The transcript is spliced from 2 exons. The record is from RefSeq and is a predicted model, not a curated record.